This 5139-nucleotide long non-coding RNA is filed under the name Sus scrofa (pig). Its description in RNAcentral is "lncRNA (ENSSSCG00060078589.1)". The record is from RNAcentral. Lineage: Eukaryota; Metazoa; Chordata; Mammalia; Artiodactyla; Suidae.
UUUUUUUUAUUAAUUACAAACCCUUAGGAUCAAGGUAUGCAAACAAAAGGGAAGAACAGGACGCCAAGGAAGGGGCAGGGGAAUAUAGGUGAGGUGACGAAGGCAGCAUACAUUUUCCUACCAGGGAAUCGUCUGGAACACUAUGGGCCAUUUUUCUUUUUUAUAGAUCCGUUGGGAGUUCCCAUUGUGGCUCAGAGGAAAUGAAUCCGACUAGCAUCAUGAGGAUGCAGGUUGGAUCCCUGGCCUUACUCAGGGGAUUAAGGAACCCACGUUGCUGUAGCUGUAGUGUAGACCAGCAGCUACAGCUCCAAUUCAACCCCUAGCCUGGGAACUUCCAUAUACAUGGGUGUGGCCCUAAAAAGUGGGAAAAAAAAAAAAAAAAGAAAGAAAAAAAAUCCGCUGUUGACUUAAUUCUAGAUACACUGUUUCUAUAGGAGCUGUCCUAAGGAGCUUGCAUUUUGUCAGUUUGUGUGUAGUUUUACAACCCUUCUCAAGGAUUUCUUUUUGCAUCUCUCCUUCAUAGUCUUGAGGUGGGUCUGAGUCUUAGGUCUGGCCCUGCCCCUUGGAACUGUGGGAAAGAACAAAGGACAUCUCCCCCAGGGAUGAGCUGGGGGAAGAGAAGGUGCAGGGCAAAUAACCAAAUGCCCAAUGUGGGAGCAAUUUGCAGCAAUUGCAAGCAAGGAAUGUGGGAACCCAGGAGCCCAAGCCUUCAGGGCUAUCUGUGGGAAGUCACAGCUCUUCAUCAGUGAGGGUGAUCUGGGCAGGACCAAAAGCCCAGGGAGUUCCGUCUGCAGGUGGAGAUGAAGGGCUGAGGGAUGGAGUGGGGUCGGAGAGCAACAGGUCCUACUUUUCCUAUGGCAGGAUGGCAGUUAAUCCACACUACAUCAGGGCUGUGCAGGGAAGAUGCCGUUUAUUUGUUUUGUCUCUAAUUUUGCUGAUCUUCCCCCGAGCCUUCUUCCCCCACCGAUUAGGAGGCCAAAAAGUAACUAACUGUCCAAUCUCAUUUAAAGCUUCAAUAACUUACACAGUCUUUUUGGGUAGAGUUCAGUGUCUCAUGGAUAAAGAGAUCCCUUCUCCUCCUUUUCACUCUAAGGUAGCCUCUGGGAUACAGAGGAAGGGCUAUGUGUGAUUUAUACAAAGGAGGGUCUCAGCUGUACCAUCAGCAUCCUUGGAGGGCCAGCAAGCUUUCCUGUGUCUGCCUGUGGGCUGCUUGCCCUCCUGGCCUUUUCCAGUGAAGCCAGGUUGCUGUUGAAUAUGCAACCUGGCCUCUCUUGGCUUGACCAGAGCUCUCAGCACUUCCAGAUUUGACCCAUCAAUUCCAGAAUUGACCUGGCUCUCCUGUGGCUGUGUGGCCCCUCAGAGGCCCCAGUGCCCGGAUUCCACUCUGCAGCCCUGGCUACAGAAUCACCCUUCCCAGUGAUAACUCUGGUCUCUCUCCCAGCAGUUUCUUUUUAGUAGCCCGGUUGUUACAAAAGCUCACUGUUUCAUUGCUUCAUUUUAUAACUGGGCUAAAUGUCAGCCUUGGGGGAAGGGAGGCAGAGAACCCAUCUACUAUUAAGGCUACUCAAAUAAUGAGAAACAAGGCCCCCAAAUUCCUCUGCAUUGACCGAUGCUUCAGACCAAAGUGUUGGAACUGACCGGUUGUCCUGGCAUCUGGUGGCGAUGGCGUUUUUUUUGUUUUUUGUUUUUUUUUGGCCAAUCUGGAAACCUGAGCGGUCUUUUAUUUCCAACCCUCUCAACUCUGCUCUCAAUGAGUAUGGAAAGUGUUGCAUGUGGAAAUUGCCUGGGCGACUGGGGGAAAGGUUGCCAAAAGAGAAACUUUCCAGUUCUUAGCUUUCAAAGUGUGCACUGUGCCAUAUGUCAUGAGGUAAUACGGAUUCUCUGAAUGGGGGCGCCACCGCCAAUGAAAGCAGCGACUCAACAGUCGGCAAAUACAGUUCUAGUCAGUAAUCAGAGGCAAAAGAAGAAUUCCUAAGAAAGAGCAAAGGCACAGGCAACCAGAAGCAGCACAAAAUGGAGGGGAGCUGCCCUCGGGCCCAGAGCUUCGUUUUGUUUAGGAGGGGAAAAUAGGCUUGAAAGUGUUCCUGAAGGAGCAGUCUUCGUGUUAACUGAUACCAUCUGGAAAUCAACAAAAUUCAGAUUUUAUUUUUACAGAUUUGUACCAAAACCCAGUUCCAGCCAGGGAACCUCAAAUCUCCGAAGCCUCCAACAGGGCACUGAGAUAUAAAUAAUCAGUUAGCAAAAGCCGCCUUCAAAAAUGACAGGCGAAGGUUGUUGUCUUCUCCUCUGUAUUUAAAUCAAGAGAUGAGGUGAGAUGUGACCAAGUGCAUGGAGAUAUGAUAGUCUGGUGAUGCAUUUUUCGUCAUUUUUAACCCAUAGAUACCAGCCUCAGAACAGGCAGAUUUUAUCUUCGAGACCCUUCAUUCCCCUUAAGUAUCCCCUGUCCUCACUCUGACCCCCUUGUCCCCUCUCUGCUUCCUCCCCCCAUCACAGUUCUCUCAGCAGAUAAUGAUUUAAUGGAUUCGUUAGUCUUUUUCCUCAGCUACCCUAACUUUUCCCCAUAUUUGCUUUUUAUUUAUUUAUUUUUCUUUUAAAGCCAAACCUGUUGCAUAUGGAAGUUCCCAGGCUACAGGUCUAAUCAGAGCUGCAGCUGCCGGCCUACACCACAGCCACAGCAACGCCAGAUCUGAGCCGUGUCUGCAAUCUACACCACAGUUCACGAUAACGCCAGACCCUCAACCCGCUGAGCAAGGCCAGGGAUCGAACCUGCAUCUUCAUGGAUAUUAGUCGGGUUUAUAACCACAACAGAAACUCCCAUAUUUGCAUUUUUUAAAAAAUUUAUGGCUGCAUUUGCAGCAUGUGGAAGUUCCUGGGCCAGGGAUUGAAUCUGAGCCACAGCUGCAACACCAGACCUUUUAAACCAUUGUGCCAGUGCAGGAAUCAAACCUGCAUCUCUGCAGCAACCUGAAUAGUAAUGCUUCUAAAAGGAGUUGUCUGAAUUGUGGGAACUUUAAGCAGUAACAUGGAGGUCUUGGACCGGUAGGGUAAAGGGAAGGAGCUGCAUUUUGCAUUUGGAGAGUUGGUACAUUUCUUAAAUCACUGUUCUGCAGACUGUCGCCACCUGCACGUGACCAUUCUGGUAUGAGGCCGGCUGGAGCUUACCUUGGCUGGGCCUUGCAUCUCCUUCCACAUCCUGGCAGGUGUGAGCAGGAAGAGCUGUGAAAGUCUUGCUUUCCUGGAUAGCACAGGCCAUGAACUAGUCUACGUUGGUGGCCGAGAGCAAUUAGGGCAGAUUUCCCUGGGUAACUGGGUGAAAAGUAGGCCCCAUGAAUAAUUCUCUGCCUGCAUGUGGCCAUCUCCAAACAGAUUUCUGAGCCAGAACACUACAGCUUCUCAGAGAGUCCCCUGUGCCUGGUUUCUUUCUCUGGCCCUGCUCGGAAGUGAGAUUCAGCGUGAUCAUAGUUCCAUGGCUGCUCAGAUGUACUUUGGUGCUUCCAGCUGCUCCACACUGGCCCGUAAGGUCAUUCUCGUGCUAGGCCAGGUCUCAGGCUUGUUAAUUAGAUGGAAAGUCAAGACAGACAGGAUACAAAUUUUCCUAGAAAGACACCAGCAUGGCGUGACAUCAGGACUGUUUCCAACUUUCAGUGGUGAUUAUGGCCUCUGCCCUUUCCUGCUUCCUGAGGACAACAGUCCAACACGACUUUCAGCACAAUUAGAAUGAACUGUUUCAGCCAGUGUUAAAGGGGUGGGGUGUGGGCCUUAGAACCACAAAGCACUGAUUUUUCACUGAUUUCUCAAGCUGAUGCUCAUGCAAACCUGCAGUUGGGAAUACACGGAAUUUCCUAGUUUUAGUUUUAUUUGUACGCAGGGUGUAUUUGCAUGAUAUUUUAUUGUUGGCAAGCACUUUCACAUUCAUGGCCUCAUUUGAGCCUGACCAGAAUCAUUUGAGGUAGAUUAGGUGGGGGUCAAUCCUUCCCUUAGAUGAGUGAAGAGAGUCGAAACUCAGAGGGCUCCCAAAGGUAGCAGUGAAAAGGUAGGAGGGAUUCCUGGUUUCCUGAAUCCUAGACCCUAUUUCUGUUGUAUCAAAUCAUCUUUCAUUAAGACCCAGAGAGAACUGUGGGUUGGUCAAUCUGUUGAAAAGGACAUGUGCCUCUUUUCUGUCCAGCAUCCCUUCCUAUGAGAAUCACCACACCCCCAUUUCAUCAGUCCCUAACUGAAGGGAUAGAGCUAAAGUCUGACCCAAUCGGAGUAUUCUGUUACCUCCCCCUGACACUAUAAUUGGCUCAGGUAUGAGCACAUGACCUAAGCUGGCCAAUCACAGCCUUCCCUGGGCCUUUUGUUAAAGAGUUUGGGAAGGUGCACUCUCUUUUUUUUUGGGUCUUUGCUGAAUGAAGCAAGAGUCUGACUGGGAAUGAAGGCGAGCAGAGGGAACCAGAGCUGAGAGAUGGAGUCCUGAAUGUUAUUAUUUAAACCAUUCAUCCAGCUGUGACUGAAACUCUUCUGUGAGCCAAUAAAUUCCUUUUUUGCUUAAGCCAAUUGCAGUUGUUUUUAUGACACUUGCAAAUGAAAGGAGUUAUUGACUAAUAAAACUGCCGUUCCUGUCUUUCCCAGAAUUAGGAAAUUACCUUUUUAAAAUUGUUUAUUUGUAAUAUGCUUUAGUCCUUCCCAUACACAAAAAAUUCUGAGGCAGCUUAUAAAAACAAAUUGGAAAAAUAGGCAAUAAGCCAAAAAAAAAAAAUCAAAGGGAAAAUUUAAUAAAUUAAAUACGUCAUAUGUAUACAUAUAACACAAUCUUUCUAUUAUGUUGACAAAAUUGUUUUUAAAAUUAUAAUACCAAGUAUUAUUGAGGGUGCUGGGAAAUAGACACUGGUGAUGGAAAAAUUAUAAACUAAUGCAAACUUUCUAGAGAGAAAUUUGGCAAUGCUUAUUCAUAUCCAGUUCUUGUUCAUAACUAACAAUUGGAAUAUACCUAGGAAGGACAUAAUUAAAUAAAAAAGAAAGCAUGUAAAUAUUUAGCUAUAAAUGAGUUCCUGCUGUGGCACAAUAGGAUUGGUGUUGUCUCUGCAGCACCAGGACACAGGUUUGAUCCCCAGCCUGGCACAGUGAAGUUAACGAAUCCCAAGUUGCCACAGCUGCAGU